Molecule: transfer RNA, 72 nt
Filed under: bacterium
Lineage: Bacteria
Also listed under: 4 other names
Description: tRNA-Pro
Rfam family: tRNA
About the family: Transfer RNA (tRNA) molecules are approximately 80 nucleotides in length. Their secondary structure includes four short double-helical elements and three loops (D, anti-codon, and T loops).
Source: RNAcentral
CGGGGAUUAGUUCACUGGCAGAACGUGGGCUUUGGGAGCUCAAUGUACGAGGUUCGAUUCCUCGAUCUCCGA